RNA transcript from Myxocyprinus asiaticus (Chinese sucker), 7375 nucleotides. It is a transcript of the gene named Rho guanine nucleotide exchange factor (GEF) 15, with no coding region annotated. Lineage: Eukaryota; Metazoa; Chordata; Actinopteri; Cypriniformes; Catostomidae. The transcript has 17 exons. The record is from RefSeq and is a predicted model, not a curated record.
UAUUAACUAUGACUGUCGGGAAAGGCUCACAAGUUAGGAUAACACUCACAACAGUGGAGGUAAAGGAUUUAUUGACAUAUUGUGUAUGUCUUCAACCUGAACAUAGAAGAUAACAUAAUUGUUCAUGCUGAUGGUCGACUCACUUGUGAAAAGCUACUUUUGUUAAAAUGCCUGUUGCGUUUGGCGGUUUGAUAUCAGUUUGUCAGGUUGUCUCUGGAUUUUAAUGCAUGGAUGUUGCUCAUUUGGACAUGAAAAUUAUUUUAGAGCAUCAAAUGAUGGAUAAAUCAAUAAGAAUCCAUAACACAUCCAACGGGAAGUCGACCAUUCCAAAAAAACCCGAUCUCCCGCCAAAACCAAUUCUCAAUGCUUUACUCCAACCAAGCCCCAUUGGUUCCACUGGAAGAGUGGGCACCGCAGUGCCAAGGACGGGCAAGCAAAUGGCAGUAAACAGCAACAGAAAGGGAGGACACUCUGUGGGUUUGAGCCAAGAUGGAAGGACUUUGGUGUUUAAAACAAGAUUUAAAUGCCCAACCAUCAUAGAAGACCAAUUACAGGAUAUACCUUCAUUCUCAACAGUAAGAGAAAGUGGACAUACAUUAUGUAAUGAAAAAGAGAUUGCGAAGGAAAGUAAUCGUCAGCUGGCAAUGGACCAUGUGGACAUGGGUCGAUCAGCUCCUGAUGGUAGUGAAGUGAAUAUCUCAGUGAGUGGUACUAUGGAAAAUCAUCAGGACUCAACAGCGCCACCAAUCCCUUCAGAGGAGAAACACUGUCACUGCAUCUGCCACCUUCACAGACCUGGCAUGAAACUGGUCUGGGUGCCUCUACAGGAGGCUGAAAAAAACAGCAUGGAUACUGUGAGCAAAAAGACAAAUAAUGAAUUUCGAAACAGGGGAAGUCAAAGAAAUGAGUUUCCAAGAAAGAAUGAUAUUUUAAACCCAACCAGCAAUGAAGAACGUAGGCCACAUAGAAAUCCAUCUCAGCACCUCGAAGCACAAGCAUUUCCUCCUUGUUUAAAUUGCCAAAGCUUUUUACUUCACCACAGCCCUCAUAAAUUAGCUUACAAUGGGUUAGUGUUUGAUAAUGAGUCAUUUCAAAAAACCUCAACCCCCCCUGUACCAGCAAAGACAUAUCACUCAUCUCAAAAUAACCAGCAGUAUGCACAGCUUGAACAAACCGAUGCUCAUAUAUACUUGGAUCUUCUACCAUCAAUUGAGAAUGCUCCCGCUGUGCCCCCUCGACCUCCACCACGGCCUGCGCCCAAGCAGAAGAGAGAGCGACGGUCUACUCAGGCAGCGCUGGCUUAUGUGGUCUCUCCUCGAGGAGGCCAUCUGCCAAUCAGAAACAGCAGCAGCUGUGAGGCUAGAAGAUUUUCUUGCCCCAUAUCUAAGUCAAACCUAUCAGAUGCAAGCUAUAAGAAUGGUGAUUCCGAAGACUGGGAGACUAUUGAUGAAAAAGAGCUGUGUAACAAUACAGAAAGCCCACGGAGGAUUUCUAGUGACUGGGAACCAAACAGUGACUAUGAACCUCUAUAUCAGAUCUACCAGGAGAAGGUCUCUGAAGAAGCAAGCCAGAUGCAGACUGAUAGUCCUGAUUGCAACAGGAGAAGUGUUAGUGAAACUUUGGGUCUUGAAGGUCCUGGAGGACUGGGCACCCGAUCCAAAAGAGGCCCUCAAGAGAGUACACUAUGGCAGGACUUACCGGUGGUGAAGGAAAGUGGAAUGUUGCAGAAACUCUCUCGCACUGAAAGACAUAGACAAGAGAGCAUGUAUGAGGUGCUGACCACGGAGGCCUCUUAUCUGCGCUCCCUGCGAGUUCUAAAGGAUCACUUCCUGGGUUCACGGGAACUCAAUGAUACUCUGGUCAUCCACGAUAAGAAGGCCCUCUUCUCCAACAUCCUGCAGGUUUAUGAGGUCAGCGAGAGAUUUAUAGGUGAUCUGCAGAAACGAGUAGACGAGAGUGUGGUGAUAUCUGAUGUGUGUGACAUCAUUUAUGAGCACUCAGAGAAGUAUUUCUCCGUCUUCACUGACUAUGUCCGAAAUCAGCAGUACCAAGAGAAGACCUACAGCAGACUAAUGGAGAGUAACAGAGAUUUUUUAGUUGUGAUGAGGCGUCUGGAGUCGUCUACUCUCUGCAACCGGCUGCCCUUCACAUCCUUCUUGCUUCUACCCUUCCAGCGAAUCACACGCAUUAAAAUACUUUUACAGAAUAUUCUAAAGAGGACUGCAAAGGACACUAAAGAGGAACAAACUGCUUCCAGUGCCCUGGCUUCAGUGUCUGAGCUCAUCAGACAGGCGAACACACAGGUGGGGCAGAUAAAACAGAUAGAGGAGCUGAUAGACAUCUCUAACGUACUGGAGUUUGAUAAGCUCAAGGCCAUUCCUAUUGUCUCUAAAACACGCUGUCUAGAGAAACGGGGAGAACUACAAGAGCUGAGUAAAAGAGGGUCUCUCUUCAGCAUCCGUAACAAAUGCACCCCUGUUUACAUGUUCCUCUUCAAUGAUCUCCUCAUAAUCACCACUAAAAAGAGCAAUCCAGAAAGGUUUGUAGUGAUCGAUCACGCCCAUCGCUCUCUGGUCCAGGUGCAGGUGCCAGAGGCCGGGCCUGGGCCACAACUGGAUCACUCUUUCUGUCUGACCCUUUUGGAAAACCAUCGGGGUAACACCUGUGAACACCUGCUCAAGGCCAACACAGAGUCAGAUAUGCAUAGGUGGAUAGCUGCAUUCCCCUCCAUCAAUGUAGCACUUAGAGAGGAGAAAAUUUAUGAGGACUGGGACUGUCCUCAGGUGCAGUGCAUCAGUCAAUACAUAGCAAAACAGGCAGACGAGCUUAGCCUGGAACCACCUGAUGUCAUCAAUGUACUGCGCAAAACCAGUGAAGGUUGGUAUGAAGGUAUGCGUCUCUCCGACAGAAAGAGGGGUUGGUUUCCAGCAGAGAAUGUAUUAGAAGUGACCACCGAUCACCAGAGACGACGCAAUAUGUCCAGGAGGAACAAGAGAAUUAUUUAGAAGGAGGAGGUAUCUGAAGAAGAUGGGGAAGAAUACAACCCAGACGCAUCAUCUUCAGAUGAAGAAGAAAUCCCCCAAGCUGAGAGAGACAUUUUUGUCAAAGAACAGCAAAAUAACAUGGUCCUUGUCACCAUAUGACAACCAGGGCAGGAUGGCAGCACAAAAUGUCAUAAGGGAUGACCCCAGGGCCCACAAGACAUGCAGUUGCCCAUGCCCAGGACAUCGCCUCAACAUUCUACAUGUUCAUCACACCAGCCAUCGAAAAAAUAAUCCUAGAGAUGACAAAUUUGGAGGGUUUCCGUAAAUAUUGAGACAACUGGAAAAGGAUGGAUGAGAUUGACCUGCGUGCCUACAUAGGGCUGCUAAUCUUAGCAGGUGUGUAUAGGUCCCGAGGUGAGGCUACAUGUUGUCUCUGGGACGCAGAGAGUGGAAGGGGCGAUUUUCCGUGCCACGAUGCCACUGAAAGUCUUUCACACUUUCUCAAGAAUGCUACGAUUUGAUAACUGUGAGUCAGGAACUGCAAGAUGUGUGAGAAACAAACUGGCAGCCGUAAGAGAGGUCUGGAAGUGGGUGGAGCGCCUGCCAUACCUCUACAACCCUGGGCCUGAAGUAACAGUGGAUGAGCAACUGGUUCCAUUCAGAGGUCGCUGUCCUUUCCGGCAGUAUAUGCCCAACAAGCCAACAAAGUAUGGCAUCAAGAUAUGGGUGGCCUGUAAUGCACAAUCCAGCUACGCUUGGAAGAUGCAAAUCUACACAGGAAGCUGACCAGUGGAGGCCCGGAGAAGAUCCAGGGGAUACAGGUUGUGCUUGAUGUGACAGAUGGACUGAGGGGGCACAAUGUCACAUGACAAUUCCUUCAACUCUUAUGAACUCAGCCAGCAGCUCCUGAAGAGGAAGAUCGCCAUGGUUGGCACAGUUAGAAAGAACAAGCCUGAGCUCCCCCCUGCACACCUCGCAACAAGUGGGAGAGAGGCCUUCAAAGUUUGCCAUCAACCCCACCACCACUCUAGUUUCUUACCUUCCAAAGAGGAACAAGAAUGUGGUCCUCCUGAGCACACGACACAAAACGGCUAAGAUCAGUGAUCGUGAGGAAAGGAAGCCAGCCAACAUCCUGGACUACAACCACAACAAAGGAAGCGUGGACAACCUGGAUAAGGUGAUUGGAACUUACAGCAGCAGGAGGAUGACUUCCCGCUGGCCCCUGGUCAUCUUCCAUAACAUCAUUGAUGUGUCCUCAUACAAUCCCUUCGUGAUAUGGAACAAGAUCAACCCUACCUGGAUGCCUGAUAAACGGAAGAGGAGGGUGUUCCUGGAGCAGCUGUUAAAGGCACUUGUAACCCCACACAUUCAAAGAAGGGAGCGCCUCCCGCACUGCAGCCUGCAGCACUUGUGAAAGCUGUUCAGGAGGCUGAAUCUUGUCCUGAUCCACCUGACGCUGCAGCUGGGGCAGGCAAGAGGAGGAGAUGCCAAUUCUGCCCCUCAAAGAAAGACUGUAAAACAAAUACUAUGUGCUGCACAUGUGAGAAAUACAUCUGCAAAGUCCAUGCACACACAAUUGCAUACUGUCCUACAUGUGCUAAUUAGAGUUGAUUGCUUUAUGUUCUUCAAGUUUUUGUUUUGUAUCUAUUAUCUUAUUUUAUUCUUAUUUAUUGUUGUUGUUUAUACACCUUGUGGGUGGGGGCAAUGAUUCGAAAAAUGGGUAUUUUGUAGUUGAAUUCCUCAUUGUACAGUAUAUCACUAUGUUGCCAAAAAAGUUCAAGACUGUUAUUGUUUCCCUUCAAUAAAAUGCAUUCAAAACUACUUUCUGCACAUUUCUGCUACUUUCUUAGGCUAUACAAGUGCUAUCUCUUGCUAAACAAUUAAUGUUUACACCUAUGCAGUAUCUUUAGCAAUAAUAAUAAUAAACCUCUACUUUAGUAAAGAAAACAAUUAUGACAGGUGUGUUGUAAUAAAAACGAGUGGUGUCCACUGAUUAAAUGGAGUCUUUCUGCACUGUGAAGAGGUAAAACCCCACAUAUUCACAAAGUUUGUGAUGAAUGACAGGUUGUUUCUUCAUGCAAAAUAGAUUUGGGGUUUAAAAUUCAAUUAAGCUGCUUUGUUUUAGGGGUUUGGUGAAGGUGGGUCAUUUUUGACCAUUAGGACAUGGGGAGUAUACAGAAUGUUAAGACUACACAAGGGUUAAGCAGCUUGGAAAAUUCCAGAAAAUGAUGUCAAGCCUUUAGACAAUUACCUGUGGAUAUGUUUUAAGGCCUAUCUUAAACUCAGUGCCUCUUUGCUUGACAUCAUGGGAAAAUCAAAAGAACCUCAAAGAAAAAAAAAAAAAGAAAAAAAAAAAAUUGUGGACCUCCACAAGUCUGGUUCAUUUUUGGGGGCAAUAUCCAAAUGCCUGAAGGUACCACGUUCAUCUGUACAAACAAUAGUACGCAAGAAUAAACACCAUGGGACCACGCAGCCAUCAUACCACUCAGGAAAGAGACGCAUUCUGUCUCCUAGAGAUGAACGUAGUUUGGUGCGAAAAGUGCAAAUCAAUCCCAGAACAACAGCAAAAGGACCUUGUGAAGAUGUUGGAGGAAACAGGUAGACAAGUAUCUAUAUCCACAGUAAUACGAGUCCUAACGUCAACAUAAACUGAAAGGCUGCUCAGCAAGGAAGAAGCCUUGCUGAGCAUAAACCUGACAUAAAAAAAGCCAGACUACAGUUUGCAAGUGCACAUGGGGACAAAGAUCAGAUUUUUUGGAGAAAUUUCCUCUGGUUUGAUGAAAUAUUGAACUGUUUGGCCAUAAUGACCAUUGUUAUGUUUGGAAGAAAAAGGAUGAGGCUUGCAAGCCGAAGAACACCAUCUCAAACGUGAAGAAAGGGGUGGCAGCAUCAUGUUGUGGGGGUGCUUUGCUGCAGGAGGGACUGGUGCACUUCACAAAAUAGAUGGCAUCAUGAGGAAGGAAUAUGAUGUGGAUAUAUUGAAGCAACAUCUCAAGACAUCAGCCAGGAAGUUAAAGCUCGGUCGCAAAUGGGUCUUCCAAAAUGGACAAUGACCCCAAGCAUACCUCCAAAGUUGUGGCAAAAUGGCUUAAGGAUAACAAAGUCAAAGUAUUGAAGUGGCCAUCACAAAGCCCUGACCACAGUCUGAUAGGAAAUUUGUGGACAGAACUGAAAAAGCAUGUGCAAGCAAGAGGCCUACAAACCUGACUCAGUUUCACCAGUUCUGUCUGGAGGAAUGGGCCAAAAUUCCAGCAACUUAUUGUGAGAAGCUCAUGGAAGGCUACCCAAAACAUUUGACCCAAGUUAAACAAUUUAAAGGCAAUGCUACCAAAUACUAACUAAGUGUAUGUAAACUUCUGACCCACUGGAAAUACGAUGAAAGAAAUAAGCUGAAAUAAAUCAUCCUCUCAACUAUUAUUCUGACAUUUCACAUUCUUAAAAUAGUGAUAGUAAUUGACCUAAGACAGGGAAUGUUUUCUAUGAUUAAAUGUCAGGAAUUGUGAAAAACUGAGUUUAAAUGUAAUUGGCUAAGGUGUAUGUAAACUUCUGACUUCAACUGUAUAUACAACUGAAGCCAUACAAAAGCACUGUGAGAGGAACUCAAAUUUAAGCCAAUAAUCUCACAAAUCUCAUUUGCACUAGUUAUCGAUUCAAAAAUGCUGCAGCACAUUAAAUGGAAAAGAGAUUUGAACUUGGUAUUGGAAGAUGGGGAGUGGGAAAGAAUUUUAGAAGAUGUUAAAACUGUCUAUGGAUGCAAGGGUACGCCUUAUUCAGUUUAAGAUUUUGCAUUGUUUCUAUUGGACUCCCUCAAAAUUGUUUAGGCUUGGUUUUAAAGACACACCUACCAUGUCAGUUGGAGGAUGGCGAUAUAGCCCAUGCUCUGUGGUUCUGCGCUAAGAUACAAGAAUUCUGGGUAAGAGUCCAGAAUUUUAUCUGAGGCUCUAGAUACUCAAAUUUCACUCUGCCCUAGACUAUGUUUAUUGGGUGAUGGGCGGUCAUUAAAGUAGGUGAAAUAUAUAACAAAAAAAAAAAAAAACUGGGUCCAAACUAGUGUAAUGAUUGGCAGACAGAUAAUUUAGAGGAUGGAAGUCAAAAGGUGCUCCCUCAUUUCAAGAAUGGUUCACUGAAUUGGGCAGGGUGGCGACAUUUGAAAAGAUGUCUUAUAAACAGCUUGGCAGAUCAGAAGUCUACGGUAAGAAAUGGGGCAAAUACUAGACGUUUCUGGAAGGCUCUGAACCAUUUGGAGAGAAACGUGAUUGUGAUUGAAUUUGUAAAUUGUAUCCUUUGUGGAAUUCUUUCUUUUCUCCUCUUUAUUUGUUGAUUUUGUAUUUUUAUGUAUUUUUUUUGUUUGCGCGUGUGUGUGUGUGUGUGUGUGUGUGUGUGUGUGUGUG